UGUGAAAUUCAAUUUAAUUUGAAUUUAAUUGAUUAUUAAUUUUUUAAUAUUUAAAGUAUUAAUUUAUUUAUUAUUAUUAAAAGAAAAAUAUUUUUUAAUUAUAGGUUAUUAGUAUAGUGUUAGAAUUUAUUUUAAUGUUUUAAAGAAGAAUUAAUUUUUUGUACCUUGUGUAUCAGGGUUUAUUAACUAUUAAUGAUUUAUUUUCAUUUUCUCGAAAUAAGGAAGAGCUACUUAUAUAUUUAUAUUAACGUUGAAUAGUUAUUUUUAAUAUAUAGUUUGUAAUGAAAUGUUAUUCGUUUCUUUUUAUAUCUAGUUUCUUAAGAAAUGCAUUUAAUGCAGAUUUAUUUUCUAUUAAUCUUAUUUAUAAGGUUUUUUGGGUAAUUAAAUUUAAUAGUUUUGGGGAUGAGCUUGAAACUAAAUUUGUAUAAAUUAAUUAUUUGUUAUUAUUAAAUAGAAUUAGAAAUUUUAAUUUUUUAUAGUUUGUUAUAAUUAAGUUUUAUGUAAUUUAUAUUUUUAUAAUUUUUACGUUUUUUAUUAAGAAUUUUUAUUUAAUUUUUUUUUAUGAGUUAUAAUGAUAGAAUUAGUAUUUUUAUUUGUAUUUUAUUUUUUACUUGAAAGGUAAGCUAAAGGAAUUCGGCAAAAAUUUUUUUCACCUGUUUAUUAAAAACAUCGCUUUUUGAUUUUGAUUUAAAGUCGUACCUGCCCUAUGAAUAUUAGAUUAAAUGGCUGCGGUAUUUUGACCGUACAAAGGUAGCAUAAUCAUUAGUUUCUUAAUUAGAAACUUGUAUGAAUGGUUUAAUGAGAAAAAUUCUGUCUCUAGUUUAUUUUUAAUGAACUUUAUUUUUGAGUUAAAAAGCUCAAAUUUUUUUGUAGGACGAGAAGACCCUAUAGAGUUUAAUAGUAAAAUUAAUUUGUUUAUUUAGGAAUUCUUAAUACUUAAAUUUAUUUUACUAAUUUGUUGGGGUGACCGAAAAACUUAUUUAACUUUUUUUUAUCUAUUCAUUUAUUUAUGUUUGGUUGAUCCAUUUUUUAUGAUUAAAAGAUUAAAUUACCUUAGGGAUAACAGCGUAAUUUUUUUGGAGAGUUCUAAUCAAUAAAAAAGUUUGCGACCUCGAUGUUGGAUUAAAGUUUACAGUUGGUGCAGUAGCUUGAUUGUUAGGUCUGUUCGACCUUUAAAACUUUACAUGAUCUGAGUUUAAACCGGUGUGAGCCAGGUUGGUUUCUAUCCUUAAAUAGUUAUAAUAUUUUAGUACGAAAGGACCAAGUAUUAGUAAAAUUUAUUUUUUUUUGAAUACCAUUAAAGUUACUUUGGCAGAUUAGUGCAUUAAAUUUAGAAUUUAAAUAUGUAUAUUAUACAGGUAAU
RNAcentral lists this ribosomal RNA (1363 nucleotides) under Helochares sp. BMNH1425100. RNAcentral's name for it is "16S ribosomal RNA". The stretch from base 1059 to 1217 matches the Rfam family "Archaeal large subunit ribosomal RNA", at positions 2542 to 2701 of the family's 2987-position model. Lineage: Eukaryota; Metazoa; Arthropoda; Insecta; Coleoptera; Hydrophilidae. The record is from RNAcentral.